Molecule: ribosomal RNA, 429 nt
Filed under: bacterium
Lineage: Bacteria
Description: partial 16S ribosomal RNA
Rfam family: Bacterial small subunit ribosomal RNA
Source: RNAcentral
UAGGGAAUCUUCCACAAUGGACGCAAGUCUGAUGGAGCAACGCCGCGUGAGUGAAGAAGGUUUUCGGAUCGUAAAGCUCUGUUGUUGGUGAAGAUGGAUAGAGGCAGUAACUGGUCUUUAUUUGACGGUAAUCAACCAGAAAGUCACGGCUAACUACGUGCCAGCAGCCGCGGUAAUUCGUAGGUGGCAAGCGUUGUCCGGAUUUAUUGGGCGUAAAGCGAGCGCAGGCGGAAUGAUAAGUCUGAUGUGAAAGCCCACGGCACAACCGUGGAACUGCAUCGGAAAAGGUACUUCUUGAGUGCAGAAGAGGAGAGUGGAAUUCCAUGUGUAGCGGUGGAAUGCGUAGAUAUAUGGAAGAACACAAGUGGCGAAGGCGGGUCUCUGGUCUGCAACUGACGCUGAGGCUCGAAAGCAUGGGUAGCGAACAGG